UGCGUAGGCGGUGCGGUAAGUCUGUUGUGAAAUCUCCGGGCUCAACUCGGAGCCUGCAACGGAAACUGCCGUGCUGGAGUAUGGGAGAGGUGAGUGGAAUUCCCGGUGUAGCGGUGAAAUGCGUAGAUAUCGGGAGGAACGCCUGUGGCGAAAGCGGCUCACUGGACCAUUACUGACGCUGAUGCACGAAAGCUAGGGGAGCAAACAGGAUUAGAUACCCUGGUAGUCCUAGCCCUAAACGAUGAUCGCUUGGUGUGACAGGUACCCAAUCCUGUUGUGCCGGAGCUAACGCGUUAAGCGAUCCGCCUGGGGAGUACGGUCGCAAGGCUGAA
RNAcentral lists this ribosomal RNA (332 nucleotides) under uncultured bacterium. RNAcentral's name for it is "bacterial SSU rRNA". It matches the Rfam family "Bacterial small subunit ribosomal RNA", at positions 568 to 898 of the family's 1533-position model. The record is from RNAcentral.